GAGUUUGAUCCUGGCUCAGAUUGAACGCUGGCGGCAUGCCUUACACAUGCAAGUCGAACGGCAGCAUGAUCUAGCUUGCUAGAUUGAUGGCGAGUGGCGAACGGGUGAGUAAUACAUCGGAACGUGCCCUGUAGUGGGGGAUAACUAGUCGAAAGAUUAGCUAAUACCGCAUACGACCUGAGGGUGAAAGUGGGGGACCGCAAGGCCUCAUGCUAUAGGAGCGGCCGAUGUCUGAUUAGCUAGUUGGUGGGGUAAAGGCCCGACCAAGGCGACGAUCAGUAGCUGGUCUGAGAGGACGAUCAGCCACACUGGGACUGAGACACGGCCCAGACUCCUACGGGAGGCAGCAGUGGGGAAUUUUGGACAAUGGGGGCAACCCUGAUCCAGCAAUGCCGCGUGUGUGAAGAAGGCCUCGGUUGUAA
This 422-nucleotide ribosomal RNA is filed under the name uncultured microorganism. RNAcentral describes it as "bacterial SSU rRNA". It matches the Rfam family "Bacterial small subunit ribosomal RNA", at positions 9 to 428 of the family's 1533-position model. The record is from RNAcentral.